GUGGCCACAAGUCAUGGAAGGGGUGGCUGGGCUGGUGAGUUCACAUAGGGCCAUCGGGUCUAGGAGAAAACCAGCGAGGGAAAAAACAAAGCAAGCUUUUAGGUCUGCAGCAGCUCUUCUCCAUGGGAACAGGAGAUCCACUGUUUACUGGCUGGCUGAAAUACACCACCAGGCAUCAAGAUUCACGCUAAACGCUGAAGAAACAUGAUCCUACUUAAUUUGAGAGGAAGGCUCAUUCAAAGUGGAGCAACCUCUGCACUUACAUCAUGGGGGAAAAAAGACAAGAUUUGAAGCAUCUAAAAGAUAUCAUGAUGUCUUCUACCAAACAUUUCUCCUUCUAUCUAGAAUCAGCUGUUUCCAUCACUGCAGCAACACUGAUGCUCAAGAUAACCGUGCUCAGGCUAUUGCUGCCAUACAGAAGUACAGGCUUGCAGGUUGUAGUCAGACACUCACUUCCUCCCCUUCUGAAGUUGGGUUAUUCCUGCUCAGGCCAUUUCUGCAGUUUUACCCCGCUGUCACCAGGGAUUCAGAGCUCCUGCAGCUCACCCCACACCAACAGCUUCAGAAAAUUGAGGAAUGAAAUGGAUAAUUUUGACACCGUAGGGAAGUAAGGGUUAUUAUUUUUUCUUUUUUUUUUUCUUAUUUUGCCAUGCAGCUAAUCAGCAAGAAACAAUUACCUCCCAUGUGGCCAACACACUGACAAGUUUCUAAUAUCCAAAACACAGGGUUGGUUGGUGUAAUUCAUAUG
Molecule: non-coding RNA, 748 nt
Organism: Meleagris gallopavo (turkey)
Lineage: Eukaryota; Metazoa; Chordata; Aves; Galliformes; Phasianidae
Source: RefSeq, a predicted model, not a curated record